This 670-nucleotide ribosomal RNA is filed under the name uncultured bacterium. RNAcentral describes it as "bacterial SSU rRNA". It matches the Rfam family "Bacterial small subunit ribosomal RNA", at positions 8 to 669 of the family's 1533-position model. The record is from RNAcentral.
AGAGUUUGAUCCUGGCUCAGAUUGAACGCUGGCGGCAGGCCUAACACAUGCAAGUCGAGCGGUAACACAGGGAGCUUGCUCCUGGGUGACGAGCGGCGGACGGGUGAGUAAUGUCUGGGAAACUGCCUGAUGGAGGGGGAUAACUACUGGAAACGGUAGCUAAUACCGCAUAACGUCGCAAGACCAAAGAGGGGGACCUUCGGGCCUCUUGCCAUCAGAUGUGCCCAGAUGGGAUUAGCUAGUAGGUGGGGUAACGGCUCACCUAGGCGACGAUCCCUAGCUGGUCUGAGAGGAUGACCAGCCACACUGGAACUGAGACACGGUCCAGACUCCUACGGGAGGCAGCAGUGGGGAGUAUUGCACAAUGGGCGCAAGCCUGAUGCAGCCAUGCCGCGUGUAUGAAGAAGGCCUUCGGGUUGUAAAGUACUUUCAGCGGGGAGGAAGGCGUUGUGGUUAAUAACCACAGCGAUUGACGUUACCCGCAGAAGAAGCACCGGCUAACUCCGUGCCAGCAGCCGCGGUAAUACGGAGGGUGCAAGCGUUAAUCGGAAUUACUGGGCGUAAAGCGCACGCAGGCGGUUGGAUAAGUUAGAUGUGAAAGCCCCGGGCUCAACCUGGGAAUUGCCUCACAUACUGCCAGGCUAGAGUACUGUAGAGGGGGGUAGAAUUC